This 2027-nucleotide long non-coding RNA is filed under the name Carica papaya (papaya). RNAcentral's name for it is "long non-coding RNA (CPAP_LNC007375)". The record is from RNAcentral. Lineage: Eukaryota; Viridiplantae; Streptophyta; Magnoliopsida; Brassicales; Caricaceae.
AGAGUUAUAAGCAAAUUAGACUCCUAAGAGCUCGAGCAUUUCUUUAAUCCUGGCUAGGCCGAAGCUUAUCCUCUUGCAAAAUCUGCCUUAGCUCCCAAAUAGAAAUAUAUAUGAAGGAUAAUAUUUAUAUAUUGAGAGACAUAAUACGUAUUUGAACACAGGGGUGGAGAAAAAAAUUACACCCAUUAGGUUUUGUUCAUUAAUCAACUAAGUCCUGAUAUAAUCGCUAGCUAAGUGACAAAAAAAAAAGUGAAGGAUGGAAGAAGCUGAAGAGAAAACAGAGUGGGAGACGUAUCAUGGAAGGAGAAAGUAUGAAGCUGACUAGAUCAAAAGAACGUGAGGAGGAGAAGUUUUGAUCUAUCGAGGAAAGAAGAUUAAGUCUAGUAUCGGUGUUUGUAGACGAUCUCGAUCAGGCAAUGGAAAGAAAUCAUCUUGCAAGGUCUUCCACAAAGUUUGAAGAGGUGAAGGAUACUUUUAUUUUCCAGAGAGUGUAGAUAGAGCGACAUAGAUAAAAUGCAGAGGGGUUCCUUUCCAUGCUUGGUAGGAGAGAUUCUUCAAGAAAUUAGGUAAUAGGUUUGGGAGGCAUGUGAAGUUGGAUGAAAACACAUAUGCAGAAAUAGCUUAUGAAGAGAUAAGAAUCUCCUUCGAAUUACCAGCAGCUCAUUAUACAGUUCCAAUAGUCCUGGUAGUUAAAGUAUAUGGAGAUGUCUUCUGGAUUGAAUUGGAGGAGGAGAAACAAUCAACGAACAGCCGGGAAGAUCAUGGAAGAGAGAUGGAUAGGUAUAUAUGCAACUCAUGGGGAAUAUACCAUAAUGAUUGGUUGGAAAAUCGACAAGAACAAAGAAGGAAAGUGGUAUUCAAAUGUUCAGAAAAUGAACUCCAUAAAGUGGAAAUGUGACGGGGACUAGUCACAAGUUUCUACUUGUGUGCAAACCGCAGGCUUGGGAGAAGGAAGAAGCUGAGAAGACACAUUGUAAAAGGAAAACAAGAUGUUACUACUUUGAAGGUACUUUUACCUUUUAUCAUGCUAAUAAACUCAAGAUGUUCAAGAACGAGAUGAGGAAUUGACAGGAACAAAAAGAUCUUAAUGAAGAGACUGAUGAAACUAUUAGAGCGUGACAGAACAAUCCAAAUAUGUCGUAGGAUAGCAGGGAUAUUUGAAACAAGAAGUUGUAAAAUACGGCACUUCCUCCGUGCCCAAGAAAGCAUUUGAGAUGAUAAUUCGAGGAUUAGAUGGUUGAAAGAGGGCUGAAGAUGUCUUUCUUUAAUACAAGAUAUGGAAUGCGGUGUAUGAUUAUGAUGGUAUUAGAUCACUUGGUUCGUAUGGUUUCUACUUUAUCUUUUUGAGAAAUCACUACGAUAUAAUUAAAGAUAAUUUUCAAAAAUUUAUGUAGGAUUUCCAUAUAAGCUGUAAAUCUGUUCGUUUCAUUAAUAUUACUUUCAUCUCCUUAUUCCCGAGUUCUCGAAUCAUUAGUGAAUUUUUUGAAACAUCAAGCGGUGCGUGAAGAAAAGAAUGGUAUCCUUAGCAAAUAAUAAUGAACUGAAAAACACCUGAACAAACUGUUGACUUCAUUAAUUUAUAAAAUAUGAUAAGCUUACUUAACAUGAAGCAAUGACAAGCUGAAACUAAGGAAGUCUAGCUUUGAAUUAAAAGGUUCUUCAGAACAAUGAGUUAAUUAUAGGAAAAAAUGAAUCAAAACGUUUUAUGUGAUUCCUUUUAGUUUGACCAUUCCGGUUAGGAGAAGUUGAUUGUGAAUAUGUCCUUUCAGAACUUUCUUUAUUACGACUCCUUAUUUCUGGAGACGACAUAGUAUGUAUAGAAUUGAUCGACAUGUCUGUGUCUGAUUCACUUUGAUAUGACGUACCGUCUUUGGCUGAUAUCUUCUUUUUGCUGUUGUUUUCCGAGAGUAGCGAUGUGUUGGUUGAGGACGUGUUCCACGAUGGAAUUUAGAUCUUGUGUGUAGUGGAAUCUGGACGUCGGGUGCGGUACUGUGCAACGAAGGGGUCGACUCAAUUUCAAGUGAUUG